GAUCAUGGCUCAGAACGAACGCUGGCGGCAUGCCUAACACAUGCAAGUCGAACGAGACCUUCGGGUCUAGUGGCGCACGGGUGCGUAACGCGUGGGAAUCUGCCCUUAGGUUCGGAAUAACUUCGGGAAACUGAAGCUAAUACCGGAUGAUGACGUAAGUCCAAAGAUUUAUCGCCCAAGGAUGAGCCCGCGUAGGAUUAGCUAGUUGGUGAGGUAAAGGCUCACCAAGGCGACGAUCCUUAGCUGGUCUGAGAGGAUGAUCAGCCACACUGGGACUGAGACACGGCCCAGACUCCUACGGGAGGCAGCAGUGGGGAAUAUUGGACAAUGGGCGAAAGCCUGAUCCAGCAAUGCCGCGUGAGUGAUGAAGGCCUUAGGGUUGUAAAGCUCUUUUACCCGGGAUGAUAAUGACAGUACCGGGAGAAUAAGCUCCGGCUAACUCCGUG
RNAcentral lists this ribosomal RNA (446 nucleotides) under uncultured bacterium. RNAcentral describes it as "bacterial SSU rRNA". It matches the Rfam family "Bacterial small subunit ribosomal RNA", at positions 15 to 507 of the family's 1533-position model. The record is from RNAcentral.